Molecule: ribosomal RNA, 450 nt
Filed under: uncultured bacterium
Lineage: Bacteria
Description: partial 16S ribosomal RNA
Rfam family: Bacterial small subunit ribosomal RNA
Source: RNAcentral
AACGAACGCUGGCGGCAGGCCUAACACAUGCAAGUCGAGCGCCCGGAUUUAUCCGGGAGCGGCGCACGGGUGAGUAACGCGUGGGAACAUGCCCUGAAGUACGGAACAACCUGGGGAAACCUUGGCUAAUACCGUAUACGCCCUGAGGGGGAAAGAUUUAUCGCUUUGGAUUGGCCCGCGUUGGAUUAGCUGGUUGGUGUGGUAACGGCGCACCAAGGCGACGAUCCAUAACUGGUCUGAGAGGAUGACCAGUCACACUGGGACUGAGACACGGCCCAGACUCCUACGGGAGGCAGCAGUGGGGAAUAUUGGACAAUGGGCGAAAGCCUGAUCCAGCCAUGCCGCGUGAGUGAAGAAGGCCUUCGGGUUGUAAAGCUCUUUCAGCGGGGACGAUGAUGACGGUACCCGCAGAAGAAGCCCCGGCUAACUUCGUGCCAGCAGCCGCAGUAA